This 267-nucleotide ribosomal RNA is filed under the name uncultured bacterium. Its description in RNAcentral is "partial 16S ribosomal RNA". It matches the Rfam family "Bacterial small subunit ribosomal RNA", at positions 1234 to 1500 of the family's 1533-position model. The record is from RNAcentral.
CGUAAACAAAGGGAGGCGAAGCCGCGAGGCCGAGCGAAUCCCAAAAAUAACGUCCCAGUUCGGAUUGCAGUCUGCAACUCGACUGCAUGAAGCUGGAAUCGCUAGUAAUCGCGAAUCAGAAUGUCGCGGUGAAUACGUUCCCGGGUCUUGUACACACCGCCCGUCACACCAUGGGAGUUGGUAACGCCCGAAGUCAGUGACCCAACCGGAAGGAGGGAGCUGCCGAAGGCGGGACCGGUAACUGGGGUGAAGUCGUAACAAGGUAGC